Molecule: transfer RNA, 72 nt
Filed under: Camelus bactrianus (Bactrian camel)
Lineage: Eukaryota; Metazoa; Chordata; Mammalia; Artiodactyla; Camelidae
Also listed under: 2 other names
Rfam family: tRNA
About the family: Transfer RNA (tRNA) molecules are approximately 80 nucleotides in length. Their secondary structure includes four short double-helical elements and three loops (D, anti-codon, and T loops).
Source: Rfam by way of RNAcentral
GAGGGUAUAGCUCAGUGGUAGAGCGCAUGCUUAGCAUGCACGAAGUUCCAGGUUCAAUCCCCAGUACCUCCA